UACGUAGGGCGCAAGCGUUAUCCGGAAUUAUUGGGCGUAAAGAGCUCGUAGGCGGUUUGUCGCGUCUGCUGUGAAAACCCGAGGCUCAACCUCGGGCCUGCAGUGGGUACGGGCAGACUAGAGUGCGGUAGGGGGAGAUUGGAAUUCCUGGUGUAGCGGUGGAAUGCGCAGAUAUCAGGAGGAACACCAAUGGCGAAGGCAGAUCUCUGGGCCGUAACUGACGCUGAGGAGCGAAAGCAUGGGGAGCGAACAGG
This 254-nucleotide ribosomal RNA is filed under the name uncultured bacterium. Its description in RNAcentral is "partial 16S ribosomal RNA". It matches the Rfam family "Bacterial small subunit ribosomal RNA", at positions 524 to 776 of the family's 1533-position model. The record is from RNAcentral.